This 27-nucleotide non-coding RNA is filed under the name Mus musculus (house mouse). The record is from RNAcentral. Lineage: Eukaryota; Metazoa; Chordata; Mammalia; Rodentia; Muridae.
UAGGCAUACAGUUAACACUGAGAAUUG